Molecule: long non-coding RNA, 30594 nt
Filed under: Ananas comosus (pineapple)
Lineage: Eukaryota; Viridiplantae; Streptophyta; Magnoliopsida; Poales; Bromeliaceae
Description: long non-coding RNA (ACOM_LNC031003)
Source: RNAcentral
UUAGUAUACCUAUUUAAAACUUGGAAAUUUGGCCUUAUAAUAUUCUUUGCCGCUCUAUUGCUCAAUUUUCAAAUGUGGAAGGCCAAAUAGAUUAUUUGGGUUUUUUGUGAAAAUAAUCAAUCUUUUUGUGAUAUUGCAUCUCUAUUCAUUUCUUUUUUUCGUUUUGUAGCUUUGGGUUAAAUGUUCUUUUGUAAACUGAAAUGCCUUUACCGGUAUGAUAAAUACUUGCACUUUGAGUUAUAGCCAGGGAAAUUUUGGUCCAUUUGAAGCUACUUCGAUCCAAUAUCAUAGAAACGAAAAAAAGUGAGCGAAAAUUAGGGGGAAAAAAACAAAAAAUGGAUUAUUUUUCACUAUUCUUAUUUCACGAAAUCAUGAAAAUGAAAAGGAAAAAAAAAAAAAUCAGUGGUUGCUUCUGUCAGUUGAAUGUCAGUGGCAUUACUUUGUGGUAACAUUUCCCUUCCACAGGAAGCUGCAAUCGAAGAAUACUUCAAACCGAUCGAUAAGCACGCGCAGGUAAUAAUGAAUAUGCAACUCGAGAAAGAGGAAAAGCAAAUGAAGGAGAUGGUAAAAGCCAUGCAAGAGCAAAUGAUGGCACAACGAGAGAUGGUGAUCAAGCAAAUGGAAGCUGCUAAUCUUACUUCGAACCACCCCGAUCGAAGUACACCCUCGACACAUUCGAACCAAGAACAAGUCAAAUAAUCCUUCACCAAACUUUGUUGUAUUUAUCCUUUAUGGAGGAAUGUAUGUGUAUCCACUCUUUGCGCGCGAUCUGGUUAGCAAUAAUAAGGUAUAACAAUUUGUAUCAGAAAUCUCGUCCUCUUUUAUCGAGAAAGUGCGAGUUUCUUGACAUUUUUGUCAUACCCUUGCUCUUUGAAGGUGAUUUUUGUUUUGAUGGUAGUAGCAUAUUGUAUUUGAGAGAUCAUAUGUUCCGAGCUUUUUUGAAAUAGCUUUACUUAAACAACAUUUCCGUAGAAAGUCAGCAAGCUUUCUGAAUUUGCUAAUGCAGGGAUUGGGUUUUGCUAUGAUGACUUUAUUUUAUCCCUCUGUUUAAAAUAAUCCGGUUAAAAUGCUUAAAAAUAUAAAGUUGUUGCUCAAUUAUUGAAUACACGUCACAUCGGUAGUUGACCUUUCCUAUUUUGUCAACGCACACAAAAUUGAACGGUGACCGUUAUCUCGUGGGAUGCAUGUGGGAACAAAUAAAACAUGUCAUAUCUAAAGUGCCUCGUGUUACUUAUGGGCCCUUGGAUCUUUUAUGUACGAUUUAGGGUGUGUUUGUUUCAUCUAAUCUCAGAGUGCCAAAUUACGUAUUCUAAUACUUUACAUGCAUGACUUUUGGGUGAUGAUAGAAGAGGCUAGAGAUCAACCCUAAUGUUCUGACCAUAUACAUUGUUUUUUUUUUUUUUGUUUUUUUUUAGAAAUAGAUAGCACGUUACUCGCUUCGUUUAUUUCAUUUAGAAAUAAAUUUAGCUGGAAAUGUGAAUCAACUAGAAUUCGAACUUGGGUCUCGGAUACCAACCACUAAGCCCAACUAGGAUUCGAACUUGGAUCUUUUAUGUACGAUUUAGGGUGUGUUUCUUUCACCUGAUCUCAAAGUGCAAAAUUAUGUAUUCUAAUACUUUACACGCAUGACUUUUGGGUGAUAAUAGAAGAGGCUAGAGAUCAGCCCGUAUGUUCUGACCAUAUACAUUGUGUUCAGUGUGAAGUAUCCACUAUAUUUUCUAUUAUAACAAAAAUUGAAUCAACAUAUAUCAAAAGCUAGUGAUUUUCACGGUUUAUGCGACCUUAGCAAAAUCAGCAGGCCACGGAUAAUCGAAUGUUUGUUUCAAUCUAAAUUGGAGAAAACUUUUGUUGCAUUUUAACAGGGGAAGCAAACAAUUUGUCCAAUCUAAGGCAAAAACGGACUACAAACUGUUCGGUCCAUGGUCCACGUGGUACUCAUGGUGCUCCCAAUAAGCCAUCGACCCAAAACCCACUCAUGUCCCAAAGCUUUUGCAGCCCCAUGAGUCAGUAUCAAUCGCAAUUUUAGUAUCCCCAAUUGUUUCUCUCUCUCUCUCUCCUCUUAACUCCCUCCAAAACGUCUCUCUCUCUCUCUCUCUCUCUCUCUCUCUCUCUCCACCGCCAUUAUUCAAAUCGUAGCCGUUGAAAUCCCUGCCUCUGAAUCUCUCUCUCUCUCUCUCUCUCGCACGCUCGCAUACCCUUUCAAUUUCAAAUCUCCAAUUAUUUUACUGAGGGGGGUGGUGGGGAUUUUAAAAGCUACGGCGGAAACCAAACGCAGGAUAGAGAGAGGCGACGACGAUUUCACAUUUCUCACCUUAAAAAAAAAAAAAAAAAAAAAAAGAGAAAGAAAAAUUCCUCUUCUCCUCUCUUUCGAUUCCUAGGGUUUCCGCUCCGAUUCCCUCCCCGCCACCUUCACCUUCACCCUAACCCUAAGCCCCGAUUUCGGAUACGAGAGGGAUGAGCUCCCAUGCGGUUCCCCACCAGAGAAGGAUCAGCCACUCCGCACGCCGCGCUCCGGCGCCUGCGGCGGCUGCGCGGAAGCUCGAAGCUGGCGCCGAUGGCGGCGGCGCCGGAGGCGGAGGCGUCGCCAACGGGAAGAGCUCCAAGCCCACGUCGCCUUCGAAUCAACCCUCGUAAGAUCCCUAGCUGCAGCUCCUUUGUUCUUGUGGGUUGUUCAUAGUUUUGGGCGGUUGCUGUAGGGGGGAGAGAACGGUUAAGAAGCUGAGGCUUUCGAAGGCGCUUACCAUCCCCGAGGGCACGACGGUCUCCGAUGCGUGCCGGAGGAUGGCGGCGAGGAGGGUGGAUUCGGUGCUGCUCACUGAUGCUAAUGGGCUCCUCUCCGGGAUCGUCACUGAUAAGGUUUUGAUUCACCGAAUCCAUUUUUGGCGUGUUUGGUGUGAUGAUAAUUGUGAAAUAGUUACUUAAUUCGAGCUAUUUAAUAAAAUUGAUAGGAUAUAUCCACAAGAGUGAUAGCGGAGGGAUUGAGACCCGAGCAGACGAUCGUGUCCAAGAUCAUGACGAGGAAUCCAGUGUUUGUCAUGUCCGAUGCGCUCGCGAUGGAGGCGCUGCAGAAGAUGCUUCAAGGUUUGCCUAGUUAGAAGAUUGGUCCUUUUGAUAUAUUUUUGUUAGUUGCUUCUUUGUUCUUCCGCUGCUGUGGUUUUGAUGUUAUUUGGAAGCAACACUUGAUUAUGUUGGGGUUCGUGAAGAGGAACAGUAAAGGUACUACUUUUGUUUAAUGGAGAGUUAUUGUUGAGGAGGAGCUCUAUUGGUAAUUAUUUCAUGCUGGAGAACUCUGUUUAUGAUUAUGGUUAGCUUUCUCUUUGCCGAUAAAUUUUUGGGUUAGGUGGAGAAAUUAAAGUAGGAAAAGAACAAGUUUUAGAUGUAAAAGCCCGUCUGAAUUGGGAAAGGAACAUUUGCAGUUUCUUCGAGUGCUAGCCUGUCACAGUGUCACCAGCAAAACUGUCCUUCUGCUUAACUAAGAAGUGAAGAUUUUUAUUUGAUUCUUCUUUUUGUGGCUACCCAUAACCAUUUUCUUAUGGCUGGAGAGUAUAUAGAAAAGUGCUUUAUGAUAGGUAGUGAUAUUUGUUUGUAUCACUGCAAGUUAUUCAUGUUGCUAACAAAACGUAGUUUUCCUUGGAUGUCAAAGGCAAAUUUAGGCACCUUCCUGUGGUAGAAAAUGGUGAAGUUGUUGCCAUGCUCGACAUCACAAAGUGCCUUUAUGAUGCAAUAUCAAGAAUGGAAAAGGCUGCAGAACAAGGCAGUGCGCUAGCAGCUGCUGUCGAAGAGGUUGAACGCCAGUACGGCAGCAAUUUUUCAGGUGCGUUGUAAUUUCACUUAUGUUGCUUCACCCUCAUUUUUUAUAUUAAUUAUGUAAAUUUGUCUGUUUAACUGCUUUGCCUCCUGUUUAAUGCAUUGAUUCUUUAUUUUCCUGGCUGCAGCUCCUUAUGCUUUCAUAGAAACCCUGCGAGAAAGAAUGUUUAAACCUUCUUUGUCAACCGUGAUCACUGAGAACUCAAAGUACGUUUGGAACUUUAUACAAACACUUUCGUCCUUAAGGAUAUCUCCAACAGUAAUUUAUCUUGAAGAAAUCGGAAAUAGUUGAAGUUUGAUAAGUAUUUCUAUAUGCAGGGUUGCAAUAGUAUUCCCUUCAGAUCCUGUCUAUGUUGCCACAAAAAAGAUGCGCGAUAAUCGUAUUAAUUCUGUGAUCGUCAUGACUGGAAGCGCAGUUCAAGGAAUUCUAACGUAUGUUUUUUGCUUUGUUGAGUAAUGCUUUGACAGUAGUUUGCUGAAGAUUUACUGGCUUUGUUGUUUCCACUUAUUUUAUAUUUUGAAGUACACAUUUAAGGUGUUCAUCAAUACAUGCUUUGUUGCAAUUUUCUGCAGUUCUAAGGAUGUGCUUAUGCGAGUAGUAGCACAGCAUCUUUCGCCUGAGUUGACUUUGGUAGAAAAGGUUUGUUAUGUCAAGUUCCUUUUGCAAAACUCAACUAGAUUUUCUAAAUACGUAUUCUCUCUUUUUUGUCGCACUUGCUACUAUAUGAUUGUGAGUGUCUAAUUAAAGCUCUCUUGGUGCUUUUUUUAUCCUGCUUUUGCAAGAAUGGUAUACUUAAUUAUAGUCUUAGCUGUGAUCUUUGUAAUUGCAUCUCUUAGUUGGAUUUUUGGAUUCUGUGACUUUUUAUCCGGGAACUGGAUAUAUUAAACUUUUUCAGAAUAUAUCAUACCAAUGCUUGUCAUUGGUUAUUCAAAUUUUCCCACUUCUUUGCUAACUUGUUUGGCUAUUCGCAAAUUUACCUAGUGGUGUGGUUGCUCCAUUACAAUUCGAACCUUAUUAAUUGUUUGAAUUCAUCUCUGUUCUUAUAAUAUUUUAGUUGCUUCACUACCUUGGAUUUAUUAUUAUUAUUAUUAUUUUCCUGUUGCUAAGUGUUUAGCACCAAUUUUCUGUUAAGCUCUGAAGUAUCUUACUUUAAUACUUUCUAUUAUUACUACUGAAGGUAAUGACUCCGAACCCUGAAUGUGCUACUUUGGACACAACAAUUCUUGAGGCGCUCCAUAUAAUGCAUGAUGGAAAAUUCUUGCAUAUUCCUGUGCUCGAUAGAGGUAACAAUUUAUUAUAGAAGACAUCUUGUUUUUUUGUUAAUUUAUAUCUGUAACUGGCAAACAUCUUUUUGCUUCUACUUAUGUAAUGUAACUACUUGAACAGAUGGCAAUAUCACUGCUUGUUUGGAUGUUCUGCAAAUCACUCAUGCAGCCCUUUCGAUGGUAAGGAUAAUGACUAUUAAUAUGCCUUUUGCUUGAACCAUAAAUUGCCUCUCUUUUGAUUAGCUACAUCUAUGUGUACUGAAGGAUUUAUAAACUGCAGUUUUACGAGUUUUUUGCACAUACACCUGGCCAUUAUGUAAAUUUGCAUAAAUAGUCCUGCAAAGUUGGUGCCUGCAUGCAUUCCUAAACACUAUAUAUUUGUAAGGGAUAAGGUGAUUGCAUGCAUUCCCAAACGUAGUAUUUACUUGUGAGGUAUAUUAGAGUAACAAUUUUUGCUUUGAUUCCUCCAGCAACGUCAUAUGUGCAAGUAACAUAUGCAAAAAAAGGAAAAAGGAAAAAGGAAAAAUAAGAAAAAUAGGAGACAAGUUCUAUAGUCUAUAACACUAGCCAUAUUGCUUCUGCUGCUGUUUAUCUACUUCUUAUAUAUAUAUAUAUAUACACACACACGCACAGGUUGAGGGAGGAUCAGAAGCUGUAAAUGGCAUGGCAAACACAAUGAUGCAGAAGUUUUGGGAUUCUGCCCUUAAUCUGGAGCCACCAGAUGAUGAGCUUGAUAGCCGCAGGUUUUUCGCAUUUCAAACCCCUUCUCCCAAAAGUUUUUUCUUUAAAGUAAUUUUCUUUUUCUCGUUUGUCUGCAGUGAUGUUUCAAUGUUGAUGGCAUCAGAAUGUGCAGAAGGGAAGUAUACAAAUCCUCCUUCUGUUGGUCACUCAUUUGCCUUCAAGCUUGAAGACCGAAAAGGGCGUGUGCAUAGAUUCAACAGUGGUGAGUGUGCAAUCGUUUUUCUGUCCUUCAAUGCUGGCCUGCUUGGCCAUGCUUCUGAUGCGCGCUGAAUCACUUUGUGCAAAGUGGAAGUGAUUUAGCAUCUUGGUUCUUGUGAAUGCAGAAAUAUGCCCAUCAGAAUCACAAGCAAUAAUCUGAGGAUUCUUGUGAAAGCGAUCCUGCAAUGAGGUCUUCCAGCAGGUGAUUCCACGUGCAUCUGGGCCAAUACCUGUUAAUUGUCAUAUUUAAGGUUCCGUAUAUGACACUUCAUGUUUUUUUACUUCUCAUUGCAGGUACAGAGAACUUAACUGAGCUUGUUACUGCUGUGAAGCAGAGAAUAGGGAUCAACGAUGAGGAGAAAAUUCAACUUCUGGUGGGUUUUUUAAUUGUUAUGUCAAAAAGUAUAAUCAUGUCAAUGGUUUGGUUUCAGAGUUCUACGAAUUUGGUUUUUGAGCCAAAAAAAUUUGCUCCCUUGGGCUCCCCACCGUUCUUAGAAACUAUUGAUCCUUUCUAAUGCAGUAUGAAGAUGAGGAAGGUGACAAAGUUCUCCUAACUACUGAUGGCGACCUUACCGCUGCAGUGUAUGUCGCGAGAUCAGCUGGAUGGAAGGUUAGUGUUUCUCUUGAGGAUUUAAUUCAUGUAGUUAUAAAGAUUGAAACCAAUAUACAAUUUGCCGCCUUUUUCUUGGGGGGGAUGCAUUGGAUAUCAUUAUGCAAGGAAAAGUUGAUUGAGAUACCCAUCUGUUACUUCUAGGUCAUUCUAGAUAGAAUUUUUGAUAGCGGAGUAGGUUUAAUUUUAUUUCUCCAAAUCAUCUAUUCACGUAUUCAAUAAACCUAUGUUGACUUUCCAAUUGUUUUACUUAUUUCAGGUUCUGAGGCUUCACGUUGAUGAUGUUAAUGCUGAGAAGGAAACGGCAAAGCCAUCGUCGAAACUAGCGACUGCCCAAAAAAGUCGGUGGACACCAAUACAAGUCGGGUUUGUUACAGGUGCAGUGGCUCUUACAACUAUUGGUGUUGUGGCUUACUUGAAACGCUCAAAUGUGUGAUAUCCUCUGAAAAGCAGGACAGAGUAAUCUUAGUGGGCAAUUAUGCAGCUAACUAUUGAAGCUCUCCUGAUCAUAUAGGAGAUAAAAUGCAGUUAAGUUAUUUCAAAAUCUCCAUUAGAGAGAGAGAGAGAGAGAGAGAGAGAGAGAGUUAAUAGUUUUAUGGGGAGGGUGAUUGAAAAUUUGAGGCAUUAUGGGUAUAAAAGUCAUAAAGGGAAUGGAUGAUACCAAUACGUCACAAAAACCAAUACAUUGCUUUUACCAAAAGGGUGAUACCAAUACGUCACAAAAACCAAUACAUUGCUUUUACCGAAUAGGAAAAAGCUUGUAUUUUAAUGCUAUAUGUCUCUGCUCUUUUCCUGCAUCUGUUACAUUAAUUUCUCUUCAUCUUGUUUGAAAUUUUGCUCGUCAUCGUAUUUGCAAAAAUAAUUGUAUGGAUCUACACCUGAAUAAGAUGACAAGCAUCAUCCACAGAAUGUGAAAGCUUUGGUGUGUUGUCCACAAUGUAAAGUAAUGCAAUUAUUGCGUGUUGUUAUUAAUCGAACUGAUCUUGGUGUGAACAGAUAGAUUCGUUGAAUUUCGGCGUUAUGUACGUGAUUGAACAUUUGGCAAAUUUGAUUUGUGUAUUUAUGUAGAUAUUAAAAGCUUGUUGUGGGCCCUGUUUCUUCACCAUCUAGGCUGGCUCAGAAAUUGUAGAGACCCUCUUUUGGGCCAAAGCCACGUGAAAUAACUUCUUUUACAAGAAAAAAAUUGCGUGCCUGUUCUCUUGUAUGAUCUUGAUGUGGCCUACAAAAUUUCAAUUCAUCUUUGAACAUCACUUACUUUUCAAAACUGAUUAUUACUUCACAAUGUUGAAGAUGCUUACAUUUAUUCUCUCUUUUUGGGCUCAGAGAACAUGCACUAGAAAUGAAGAAAACAGCCCCACAAUUUCUUUUUUUUUUUUUCUUUUGGUUAAGUUUUUGUGAGUCUUCGAUAAAGCCAAUAAUUGUAUUGUUCCACAUGCUCAUCGGCUCAUGUGAAUUUGAAGCCAUUUGAUGUUGAUGAUGAUGUUAUAUAACACCCGCCACAAACACCAAAAUGCUUCAUGCAGGCUAAGUAGCAUACAUAUCCAUUUGUUUUGAACAUAAAAAGUGAAGUCCCUUUUUCUCCAUUCCUCGUUGUCUUUUCCUAUGAAUUUGUGUAACCUUUUUUUUUUAUAUAUCUUGUCCUAUGAAAUUAUCACCUUGUGCUCCACCAAGCUAUUCUCUUUCUCUCUCUCUCUCUCUCUAUAAGUCACGGGCCUUCAUAUUUUUUUUGGUUAUUUGGGCUCUAUUUCUCAUAUAAAUCUCACUUGAUUUCUUGUAUAAAUGAUCAGUAUUAUGAUUUGUAUCCAAUACGAGGCUAAUAUUCUGAACAAUUAUUAUUACAAACUAUACAUUAUAUUAUCUUCCUAAUGUGCUAUUAUUAUCGAUCAUUCAUCUGUUUGAGGUUUAUCAAGGAAACAUGUUACAUGAGCUAUAUAUUCGCCAUUGACGAGUUUUAGCUAUAUUUAAACUGUUAAAGAGCUCAGAUCCAACCCACAAGAUUAAACUGAUAGGUUCAUCGCAUUAUAUGAAAGUUUAGACCUUAAGCCUCCGUUUGGUUCGGGGUUAAGGAAAAAGUAGCUAUUCCAGAGAUAAGAGUUAAGUUCAGGGUUAAAGUGGGGUUAAAAUUUUUUUGUGUUUGGUUGGGGGUUGGAGUUAGUCUAGAAUAAUAAAAAAUAGUGUUUGGUUGGAGUAGAUGGAAUAAGAAGAUAAUGAUUGAUAAAGAAGGAUAAUGAUUGGUUGGAGUAGAUAGGAUAAGAAAGAUAGUGAGUUAUUAUGAAUAGAAAAUAAUGUUUGGUUGGAGUUUGGUGGGGUUAGGUGGGGUUAGCUAAUUCGGGAUAAUUUAUUUGAGGUGUGGUUAGCUAACCCGGGGUUAAAGGAUUAUUCCACCCCUUAACCCCCAACCAAACAAGGGUUUAAUAUUCAAUGUGAAACUAAAAUUUGGAACCAAGUAAAAGAAUUUUUUAGAAUAUCAAACGCUCGGUAUGUGUCUUAGUGCCGGAGAUAUGCUCGCUUAGGCACACAAGGAUUUAUUUUUCUAGUUUUUUUUUUUUUUUUUUCUUUUCUGUUUUUGCUAUGGAGGCCUUUUCAGUUCAUCCUUCUAAUAAAUAAAGCGGUAGCAUGCUACCUUAUUCUAAACAAAAAAAAAAAAAUCACGGAUUUUAGUGUGUUUGGACAGCCGACGAAAUUACUUUUCUACCCUUGUAAUUUGGGAACAGAACACCACUACAAGCAUUAUUUCGACCUAAAAAGGCAUGUGAUUGUGAAUCUCUAAAACUUAUGGUUGGUUAUCUUUUGUUAGUUAAUUUCUCCUUUGGCUUCUCAAAAGAAUGAAAAGGUUGUUUAAAAAGAAUAGCAACAUGAGCAAUAUGUUCUUUAAAUUAUUUAUUCUAUAUAUUGUGACAAACACCACUUUAGUGAUAAAUAACAACAAAUUAGGGCUUACUUUUCCUUCUAUUUUUAAUGAAAAGUCAAAAUAAUGCACUUGGCAAAUAACAAAAAACUUAAAAGAUUUUAUUGCAGGAAAAGCUGUUGAAAAAAUUUUAAUAUAAUAUUAUAGUACUAUUUAGAUAAUACUUUGUCAUACUGCACCUCAGAGCACAUACAUUAUAUUUAAUCAUAUUUUGAACCUUUUUGCUAUGACAAUAAUAAAUAUCGCUUUGAUAAUAUUGAUUUCCUAUUGUAAGGCUGCGUAGAGGCUCAAAAAUAUGAUUAACACAAUUGUGUUAGCUUAAAUGAACCUACAUUCUACCUAUGGGGGGAGGUCAGAUUGGGCCUGAGUCAUAUUCAAAAUGAUGAGAGGUUGGGUUAAACCAAGUCAUGUUUUUUUUUUUUUUUUUUGAGAGAGAUAGGUAGCAUGUUACCCGCUUCGUUUAUAGCUAGAAAUGUGAAUCAAUUAGGAUUCGAAUUUGGGUCUCGAGUACCAACCACCAAGCCUUUUGCCACUUGCUCUAGGGACAGUCGGUUUAAACCAAGUCAUGUUGAAAAUGGAAUGAGGCUGAUUGGACCGAAUCAAAAUCGAAAUUCAUGGACGUUGUGCCUGUACACAAUGAAUUAAUUAUAUGUUUUUAAUAAUUUGAACUUUUGAGGUUAAUAGUUAGCGCCAACGAUCCAAAAGUUAGACACAACCAAAUUGCUCCUAAAAAUAUCCUCAUAACAAUUAUACAAAACAAGAGAGAGAGAGAGAGAGAGAGAGAGAGAGCCAAGUGGUGGGUCCAUUGAUGGAGCAAAUUUUCCUGAGGCUUGGCUUAGGAGCUACCCCUUCUAAAGCGACUGGUAGUAAUAGGCACAGGGAUAAGGAAAAGCGAUGCAACAACCACCACCACAUACAUAGUUGGAUGGAGAUACACACAACCUUUAUUGGAUGGAGAGAAUGAUUAAGUACUACUCUCCCUAUUACUGCUUUCCAUGCAAUGCUCCGCAAUCCUUUUUCUGUUAAUGUAAUGUGCCUGGCACAUGAUGAGUUUGGUGGUAUCAUGAGUGAGCUGGAUAUUAUUUUUAUCUUAUUGGCCUGUUUGCUUUCGCUUUUGCUUCUGCAUUUAAUGGUGCCAAUCUCAUCAAAGUGUUUGAUUUAAAGCUUAUGUUGCAUUUGAUAAUGAAAAUAAGAAUUUUGAGCCUCUAAAAUGGAACUUCAAAAUGAUACUUCUGAUUCUAUUGCAGAAAAAUCCUUAGGGCCAUAUUAAUAAAUCAAAACUUAUGUUUAAGAAGCUCAAAAUGUAGAUUAAUUUAUCUUGCUAUCAGAGUAAUUCAGCUGUAAAUUAACUUUCGGUACAUAAAACAUUUAGCAUAUCCUCUUUGAAGUGGAAAAGUCAUUUCAAAACGAGCGAAAGUAAACGUAAUUUUUCAACCCAAUCAUCUAAAUGUAAUUUUUCUUAUCCCUCGCAAUAUCUUGAUUUUGGUCUAAUUUCUAUUUAUUUCAAAAGUUAUAUUUAUUAUAAGAAUAUAAGUAAGAAUAAUUUGUUCUCGAAUCAAAUGGUGCCAAAGAAUAUGCAGAGUCUUCGAUACAAAUGAGUUGCAAGGCAAAAGAUAACUAUCAAAUUUAGGUGGCCUUUUUAUGUCAUCUUUAAGGUGAGGAUAGAUUUUGUGAUAGAUACUUAAGACAUUAAAUUUAUGGUUAAAAUGGCUGAGGAUUUCAAAUCUAAUAGUCACAUUUCUAAAUUAUCAUCAUUAAAAAAAAGGUACAAUGGGCCCUCCCAGCUUUUCUCAAGGGAUUAACUUUUCCAGGGGUUAAUCAUUCCUAUUUCUUUUCAUAUUUAUGAACCUUGUCUAGAUCUUGAAACACACACACACACACAAAAUUCAUAUUUUGCUAACCUUUCUCUUUAAAAAAUAUAUAUUUCUCUAAUUUUACUAAUUAUUAUAUAUUAUUAAUGUAAUUACAUUGAUUAAUGCAAACGAGGAAUCCAAAACAUUUUCCUUGUUGUUAAUUAAUGCUGAAAAAGUUCCUUUUUUUUAUUUUUUGUUAUUAAUUAUCUGAUUGUUACUGGUGACAAAAAUGAUAAAAUAUAUCCAUUUUUUUCAAAAAUUAACAAAAUGAGGUUUUUGAGAUUCUAAAAUCUAUACUACUUUGUGAAAAACUAUUGGAAAAAAAAAAUUGGUGGGUUUAUGAGCCACAAUUCACUGUGCAUUUCUGAAAAUUAAGAUAAUAUUUUAAGAAAAAUGAAAAUCAUUUUAGUCAACUCAAUAAAUAGGAGAGGCACAUCAGAGUCAAAAAUAUGUUGCCCUAGUGGGCCCCAAAACCACAGUACCUUUUCCUUCUUUCCCAGUAUCUGAAACCUUUCUCUUUUUUUUUUAAUUAUUAUUAUAAGCUACCUCUGUAAUCCCCAAUUUAAAAAAUUACUAAAAAGGUGACCAAUCUCUGUUAUACCAUGUACUUUUAAUUACUAAACUUACUAAACUUAAGCUAAUCUCUAUUUAUAUAUAAAUCAUUAAAGAAAAGGACAAACAAACAAAAAUAGAGAGAGAGAGAGAGAGAGCCUUUCUCUGUGCAAUCAGAGAAUGAAAUUAAAAAAAUUGGAAACAUUACUUGUUUUAUAUUAAAAAUUACUAAAAAAAAGGUAACCAAUCUUUGUUACCCCCUCUUUAAUACUAAAAGCUAAUCUCUAUUAAUCUAAACCAUAAAUAACAACACACACACACACACACACACACACACACACACACACACACAGCUUUUUUUUUUUUCCAUCGUAAUUUUUAGUUCUAAAAAUUUGGAGGAGAAGAAGAGAGAGGAGAGGAGGAAAAAAGAAAAAAAAAAAAGAGUAAGAAACCCAAUGGCGGGAAUAAGGUCAACUCCGUUUUGAAAUAAGCAAAGGAAAAAAUAAAAGAAUUUGAAAUGAGAAAUUUAAAGUUUUGAAGAGGCCAAAAAGGAAAAAAGCUACGAAGUGUUGGCCAAAGCAGUGCCUUUUUCUCCUUCGUAUGACACUCCACAUGCGUUCUCUUCUCCGGGGAGGUGAGAUAAAAAAAAAAAAAAAAAGAGAGAGGGAAAAAAGGGGAAAAAAAAGCACUUCUUUGUUUAUUUAGUGGUUGGUUUAAAAAUUUGAAUUUUGAAACAAAAAUUUGAAUUUAAAAUUGGGGAUCGCUCCACCGCCGAUCUUUAAAUCCGCGGACAUUCCUCACGAGUAUACUUUUUUGAGGUAUUAAUGCUCUCCUUUGACCGGGUUUUUCUUUUUUUUUUUAUUUUAAUUUGUAUAGAUAAAUGUUUUAAUUUUGGCUAGGGUUUUUUUUUUAUUUUUUCUUUUUGUAUUGUUCUUAGGAGUUCUCCUUCCUUGUGGAUUCUACUGUUUUGUGUCGGCAAGGUGGGAUUUUGGGAGCGGGAUUAGGUGUUCUUUAGGGUUCUUCGAAAUGGGUACUCGUCAAAAUUUGAUCUUUGUGAUGCUUUUUUAUGGGUUUGAAGUUUUUUUUUUUUUUAUAAUUUGGGGCGUUUUUGCUGUGAAUUGAUUUGAUGUUUUGGGGCAUUUGAUAGUGGUGAUCUGGGGGAGAAAUGCAGGGGAAAUUGGAAGGAAAUGGGAACUAGUUUUGUGAUCUAUUGCAUGAUUGAGAUUGUGUGGUGAAAUGCAGGGGGGAUUGGGAGGAAAUGGGAAUUAGGGUUGUGAUCUAUUAGAAGAUUGGGAUUGCGCCAUGGAUCGCCGGAGUUGGCUUUGGAGGCGCAAGUCGUCGGAGAAGAGUCCCGGAGAAAGCGAGAGCUCGGGAUCGGUGUCGUCGCACUCGGAGAGAUACUCUGAUGAUCAGGUUUGUGUACAUUGCAUUUUAGAGAUUUUAUUUUGUUACAAUGCUUUUGAAUCUAGCACUUGCAUGCAAAUUUAGUUAGCAUUUUAAGUUGUUUUAGGCUCAAUCUUAGAUUGAUAUGAGGAGAAUUUUGGUUUCUCUACAUCCAUUGCCUUACUUUUGAAACUAUCUACUUAUGCUGUUGACUAGAACUUCAUGUUUACGCCUUUUUCGCUUCUUCGUCUCACCAAUCCAUUUUUGCUCGCUUUGGAUCCCGCAAAAAAUGAAGCCGAGGUGCAAAAAUGUUAUCUUUGAUUGCGUCGGAGAUUAAGGGAAAUUUUCGAAGGAGCAGUGGAGAAUUUUUUUUUUUUUUUUUGAAUUUGUGGAUCAGGAUGUUUAAUACUAGAUGAGAAUACUGAAACAACAAAUAAUAAUAAUAAAAAGAUGAUAAACCAGAAACUUAAAAGUUACAGAUGAAGAUCUCAAAUUGUAUCAAGGUUAAAAAACUAAUAUGUAGCUACUCCAUCUUUUGUUUCUUGUCACUAGUAAACCACUUGGUUUAAGAUAAAGGGUGGUGAUGAUUAUUAUUUGACAAAUGAGAUACUUUUUUUUUUUCCCCUCGGGUUAGUAAUUCUAAUCACUCUUCAGAUGUUCUUGGUCUCCGAAGUAGUUAGAAAGGGCCUACAAACUUAAAUAUUUCUAUUUUUGUGAUGGUUUCCAUUUUCUACAAGUCUAUUGGUGAGCUACACUCCACAAGGACCAGCUUUUGUUGAACAUUUCCUAAUUUUUAUCCUACCGUCAUUAAGUAAAUGGUAUUUAAGCAUAUAUUGGACAAAUUUGAAAAAAAUAAAAAAUAAAAAUUCCACUAUAUUUCAUGCUGAGAUGAGCAUUUGCCCAUUUACUCAAGUUUGUGAUUCUGUAAUAGACGCAUCCAUGUGCUUUUGAACAAAGUUUCUUUAUAUAAUUUCUCUUUUGAAUUUUAUUUGUUCAUUUCAUCUGCUUCAAUUGUUAUUGGCAUGUAAGUUUUCUCCUUCCCAUCAUAUUCUUCAAUUGGUAUUUCUUCUUGCCAACAAAGUUAAUAAUUACUCGAAGCAGCUGAAAAAUUACAUGUGUGGUAACUUUUGUAUUGUAUACGAUCUUUGACCAUAAUUUUGUGGAUUCUAGUUACGCGACAUACCAUUAAAUAUCGAGAGGGAGAGAUAGUGAUAGAUUCUUUUAGAGAGAGAGAGAGAGAGGGAGAGAUCUUUCACUAUCAUUUUUUGGAUUAUAGUUACACAAGACACCAUUAAAAAUCGACAAGGAGAGGUAGUGAUGGAGUCUUUUAGAGAAAGAACGAGCAAGAGAGAGAUCUAUGACCAUAAUUUUCUGGGUUCUAGUUAGACAAUAUAACAUUACAUAUCGCGCGCGCGCGCGCGCGCGAGAGAGAGAGAGAGAGAGAGAGAGAGAGAGAUAACUACAAUGAAAAUAAAAAUGGGUAGACUAAAAAGACGUACUUAACAUUUUUCUACGUAAAGAUGCUCCCCCAAGCUUGAAAAGCAAAUGCUUUGAGACAAAGCUAACUUCAGCUGUUGCUUUGCUAAGUGUGCUAUUGGAAAACAGGAGGUGUUGAGGGUUCAGUCGGAUACUGCUUCCCCAAGUCACGCCCAGUCACAAGAGGUUACUUCGAACAAUGGAGAUAAUAAUGAUGUCCAAGAGACUGUGAAGACUUUGACCGAGAAGCUAUCUGCUGCUCUUUUGAGCAUCAGCGCAAAAGAGGAGCUGGUCAAGCAGCACGCAAAAGUCGCUGAAGAAGCUGUUUCAGGUAUUGCUUUUCCCAAUAUUAUUCUCAAUAUAAAACUAGAAGGUAAAACUAAUUUCCUUAUUCGUAGUUUUCCUUAUCCUUUUUCAUGUUGCAUGUACACGGAAAUUGAUGUGUAAUAAUAGUUCAUGCGAAUAUGUUUAGGAGAAGAUAUAUAUCAACCAUCAUACACUGAUUGUUUUUCGUUUAUGUGCAUUGUUGAAAAUGUAACACAAUUUUUGUAAUGAUCAUAUGUAAUUUAAUCUCACUGUAGCAAAGCAAUUUGCACUUGGAUGUUUGUCAUAGCUCCGCGUUGUGCUCAAGCAAGUAGCAACUACUUUUUUAGGUGGAUUAUAAAUCUCUCUCUCUCUCUCUCUCUCUCUCUCUCUCUCUCGCUAUGAAGAACCAGUUAUCAUUUUCUUAUUUGUUGACGAGAUUUAAGGAGCAUAUGUAGGGUGUCCAUCAUAAUUUUUCAGAUACAGUCGGUUACUUUUGAUCUGGUACAGAUUCAAGUUCAUGCACGGAAUAAAUUCAACAAAUGCUGCAACUUUUUUUUUUUUCCACCAUUAACCAAACUUCCGUAUCCUUGCAGGGUGGGAACAAGCUGAAACCGAACUAGCGUCUCUCAAGCAGCAGCUUGAAAUCGCUUUCCAGAAGAACUCUGCUCUCGAGGAUCGAAUCAACCACCUUGAUGGGGCCCUCAAGGAAUGCGUGCGGCAGCUCCGUCAAUCCCGAGAAGAGCAAGAAGAGAGAACCCAUGAUGCGAUAUCCAAAAGGGCUCGUGAGUGGGAAUCGAGCAAGUCCGAGCUCGAGAAUCAGAUUCUUGAUCUCAAGAAACAGCUGGAAACUGCUGCAUCAGAAGCUGCUCCUUCCCCCCUUCAGCUUAAUCUGCAAGAAAAGCUCGAAGUUAUCGAGAGAGAGAACACGGACCUCAAAGCUGAGCUUCUCGCUCAAGCCGAGGAUAUUAGGGUUCUAGCACUUGAAAGAGAGCUUAGCAACCGAGUUGCAGAAACGGCUAGCAAACAGCACCUGGAGAGCGUGAAAAAAGCGGCCAAGUUAGAAGCUGAAUGCAGGAGAUUGCGGGCUUUCUCGCGUAAAAAAGCACCAAUUAUUGACCACAGACCAAUUCCUCAAUCAGUUUGUGUGGAAUCUCUCACUGAUAGCUUAUCAGAUAUGGAUAAUGAACCGGAAUGCUCGGAUUCGUGGGCAUCGGCUUUAAUCGCAGAGCUUGAUCAGUUCAAAAAUGGAAAAGCUGGUUCUAGAAAUCUAAAAACUGCUUCUGUGGAGAUUGACCUAAUGGAUGAUUUUCUUGAGAUGGAGAGGCUUGUGGCUUUGCCCGAGGCUGAUCGCAGAAGCUCUAGCUUCGAGCUAGAAACUGAUUCUGAAAAAGCUCUUUUGAAGGACUGCUUUUCGAAGGUUGAAAUUGAAUCUCUGCGGGAUGAAUUAGUAGAGUUACAGGCAAAGGUCAAGAAGAUCGAAAGUGAGAAGAAAGAACUGGAAAUGGCUUUGGCUGAUUCUAAAAGCCAUUAUGAGAUCACACAUGAUAAGCUAAAACUAGCUGACGAUGAAUUGGUGCAGCUGCACAAGCAGUUAGAAUUGGCUUAUGAGCUGAAACUUGCAUCGGAAAACGAAGUAAUGAAUGUGGAGGCAAAGAGAAAGGAGUUGCAUUAUCAACUAGAAUCAGCAAAUGUGGAAGUUGGAAAACAACGUGAGAAGGUGAGAUUCUUAGAACAAGAUCUUAAGGCUGAGAGGGACCUUUCUGUGAAAUAUGCGACUAAGGUCGAGGCUCUGGAGUCCACUAAGAAUGCCUUAGAGAUUCAGCUUGAAACGGUUAACUCGGAAGUCGGAAGACUAAGAGAGUUGGUGGGUGUGUUAGAAGGCAAAAUCAAGGAAGAGAAGGGCUUAUCUGCAAAAUUCUCAAUUAAAAUAGAGGCUUCGGAGGCAGCGAGAAAGGCUUUAGAAUCUGAGGUCGAGUCCGCGCGUAAAGAAGUUCGGAAAUUAAAGGAAAAGGUGGCUUUUGUAGAAGCUGAAGCAGAGAAGGAGAGGGUUAUAUCUGCAAAAUAUGCAGCUGAGGUAGAAACAGCAAAUCUUGUACUCGGGAACCUUCGUGAAGAAAUCGGCUUGCUGGAAGAGCAGAUUGAAAAGGAAAAAGCAAUUUCUGAAGAAUUCGCAGCUAAGUGCGAGAAGUUGGAGGCUCAGCUUUCGAGGCACCACCGAGAAGCCGAGCUUCGCCUAAUUGCAAAUGCAAAUGGAGAACUGAAGAUGAAGCAGGUAAAAUGCUUAUUUUCCGGUCGCAAUAAUCUUAAUAGCUCAGGUCACCUUUUCCUUCUUUCUUUUUUUUUUUCAUAAUACUCUCUAUUAGUAUCAUGACUAGUUCGUGGCCGCUUCCAUUGCAUGGCAUAAGCUUCUGGACAAUGCUCCGUUUCUUUAUUGUGGACAAUGCUCCGUUUCUUUAUUGUGCUAAACGCCUGGCUUCUGCUUCUUAAAUAGAGAAGCUGUUUGGAAGUUGUUUCUGGCAAUUGCAGAAGCUUCGGACUUCAUAAUUUACCAAUCACUUUUUUUAGAGGUGACUGCUGCUAGAAGCAGAAGCUAGGCUGAACAUGCAACAAAUCUCUCAUUUUGAUGCUCUAUUUUUUUUUUUUUCUCUAUGGUGCAGGAGAAAGAGCUCGCGGUGGCUGCUGAAAAGCUGGCAGAUUGUCAGAAGACAAUAGCUUCUCUCGGCCAACAGCUCAAAUCCUUAACAGAUUUAGAUGAUAUCAUGCUCGAGGCGGAAAUACCUCAACUUAUCCAAAGCUUUGGAGAUCACGAAAAUGGCGAUGACGAUACACUACACUGUUACGAAAGUUCACGUAAUCUACAUGGAUUUACUCUCCCAAAUGGCAAAGAGAAGGGCUCUUUCCCCUUCUCUUCUAUCUCUUCGUCGGCCUCGGCCUCGGCCUCGACCGUUUCUGGGCUUUCGAGAUUGUUAUCGUAUAGUAGGAGCAAUAGUGCUAUAGAAAAAUAGUGAAGUAAUUAAUGAAUUGGUGUUAUAUUGGAAAUGUACAUUUAAAGGAAGUGCUUUUAUUGGAGAUUUGGUGGUUGUUAAUGGCUAACAUCAUGAGUCUUGUGUUAACUGUUGAAGCCCUGAACUUUUUUUAUUUAAUGAAGAAAAAGAUCCAGAGAGCUGGAUUUCAGUGUGCUUCUUGCAAAAUCAGUUUGUCCAUGGUGAAAUUGUUGAAUCAUUCAAAUAAUUUUAGUUUUUUGGACUCUCUCAUGAUGGUAUGAUUUGUUGUUCAUGGUGAAAUUGAUGUGAUUUCCCCAAUUUGUUUUUUGGACAAAUUUCUUUUUAAAAGCAUAACCUACUUGGAACCCGGAAGCUCUAAAUUAGAGCUUCUAUUUUGAAACCUUUAAAAUCAUAUUUCUGCCGCUCGUUAGGGUAAAAUUUUUAUUUUUUUUUUAGAAAAAAGUAAUAUGCUAUUCAUUUCGUUCAAUUUUUUUUAAAAUGAACUUAGUUGAAAAUGUGAAAUAAUUAGGCUUCGAAUUUAGAACCUUGAAUGCUAAUCACUAAAUCUUUUAUCACUUGUGUUAGAAUAAAAAUUUUAUUUUUAUAUCCCGUCAUAAAUAACUAACUAUAGUUGAAAAUUUAAGUGAAAGCAAUUUUGGGCCCCCAGGAAAUGGUGAAAAUUUAUUUUUCAGAAAAAAAAGAUGUUUUCAUAGGAAACAUCAUUUUUCAUAAUUUUUUAUUUUUCGGGUAAAAAUUUGGAAAAUGAAAAUGAGACCUUCCCAUAAAAUCCGAAUUUUUUUAAUAAAAAAACUACUAAUCCUUUUAUAAAAAUCAAACCGACGGAAAAUACUUUUCGGGUCAUAACACUAUUUUAAACCCCCCAAAAAUUACGGAAAAUUAUUUUCAGGAAAAAAAUUUGUCAUAAUUUUUUUUUUCAUGACUUUUUUCCUGAAUAAAAAACCCCAGAAAACUAAAAGAAGACUCUUUUUUUUUCAGAAUUUGACAAUAGAUUCUUUUUUUAAAAAAAAAAUUAUUAUUUCGGAUUUAACUAAACGAACCGAAUAUACUUUUGCAGAAAAAAUAAAAAACUAUUUUCUGAGGAGAGAGAGAGAGAGAGAGAGAGAGAGAGAGAGUAAAGGUGUCCAAAAUAUCCGAUAUCCCAUACCCGAUCCGGACCCUACCCAGACCCGAACCGGACCCGAACCGGACCCGAUAAAAAAUAAAUAGUAUACGGAUAAAAAAAAUUACCCAUUAAAAUUUCGAGUAUAGAUCCGGAUAUUUUAUACCCAUACCCGAUUUGGACCCGACCCGAACCUAACUUUUAAAUGGGUAGGGUCCGGAAUAGUUUUCAAAUCCGGACCCGGACCCGGACCCGCUGAAAUAUUCGAUAGUAAAUAAAAAAAAAUAAACUUUUGAAGUUGAAGGAUCAAUUUUAAUAUGACUUAUAGAUGAUGAGUCACUAUGUAUUUUCAUCCUAAUGAAACCCUAGCCGUCUCUUUUACUCAUUACUUUUUUCUAAUUUUUUUACUCUUUGUUUUCUACUCUUUUUUUUCAUUUCAUUUCCGCCAACAAUAUUUCAUUGUCAAUAAUAUAGUUUGUUUAUUGACUAUUUAAUAAAGUUUGUAAAAAAAUAUAUUUAUACGGAUAUCCGUACCCGAUUUAGACCCGAUCCAUAUCCGAUUUUGAACGGGUAGUAUACGGGUAGUCACUACCCAGACCCGCUCAAAUAGACCCGAUGGGUAUAUUAGAAACUUUAGUACUCAGACCCGGACCCGACCCGAAGUUAAAUGGGUAGGGUAUAUAUAUUUUUUUGUAACCAUUUCUUUUUAGGGUAUGGGUACAGUAUAUUAAUUACCCAGACCCGACCCGGUCCACGGACAUCUUUAAGAGAGAGGAGUAUAAAAGAAAAACAGGGGAGAGGAUAUCGGAGUGGUGGAUUCGGUCCAAAAUGGCUACAACGUUCUCCACCAACCACACCCUCUCCUUCGUCCGCUCUCGCCCCCUCCCCGUCCCGAAACCCCUCAAAACCCUAACCCUAACCCUAACCCUAACCCUCCCAAUCCCUCCAAACCCUAGCGCGAGGCACGCGAUUAAGCUCUUCUCCUCCGCCCAAUUCCCUCGCAGAUACUCCGCCGCCGUAAGAGUCGCCGAAACCGAUCCAAAGGUGGUUUUUUUUUUUCCCUCUCGUUUCGAUUCAUGUUUUUUAAUAAAAUUUGCUUAAAUUUUGCUUAGUUCACUAAUUUGUGAUUAGGAGCGUGUGUGGAGCAAUGCGCUUGAUUCAUCCAUUAAAAUUUAUUUGUCGAAGUACAAAUUUUUAUAUUUUUUAAAUUAAGCAGUGCCAUAAAAAGGGAAAUUUUGUUUGCUUCAUUGGUAAAAAUAUGUGGAACACUAAUUAGAUUAUACCCCAUUUGGGAAUAAAUAUUUGGAAGUUUUGAUUUAGAUAUCUGACCUUUUUCUUUCUUUUUUUUUUUUUUUUUGAAAUAUUGCUAGCUCUGAAUCAGAAUCAACACUGUUGAUAGCUUUCUCAUGAAAUAUUUCGUGUUCUGUUGUUUGUCGCUAUAUUUUAUAACUUACUUUUUGAUUAAACCGAUAAGUUUUGACCCAAUAUGAUGAUGCAGUGGUGUUGAAAUGAAAAACAAUUAAGUGUUAAAAUCGAAACUCUCAAUUAGGUACCAUUUCAAAAUGCGCCGCUGUUAACCUAUAAUUCAGGUAUGUUCUGACAUUUUUUUGGAUGGAUUAUUUGAGGAAUCAUGUUUUGUCAAAUGGAGUAUCGUAUGCGUCAAAGAGAGUGUAGCUUUUUGUACAAACUUAUGAAUCUAUGUAUCUAGUGGAACAAUGAUUGCUAAGCGUGUCCAGCUUUGUUCAGACGAUCGAUGGGGAUGAAGAGAACAGGACCUUAGAGAACAAAUCGGACGCCAAAGUAGAUCGAAAUGAUAUUCCUCCUAUGAAAAACCUCAUACAAUCCUACAAAAGAGCCCUUCUAGAUGGAGAUGAAAAGAUCCUUUAUGAAACGGAGGCACUAAUUUGUGCUGUGGAGAGUGAGACGAACGAUUUGUCCGCGAAAUUCACAAAUAUAACCUCCGAAAUAACUUCUGGGAAGGACGAGUUCCUUCGACUAAAGGCUGAUUUUGACAAUUUUCGGAAGCAAUUUGAGAAGUAUCGUCUUUCUUUUACAUCGGAUAUACAAGUAGAAGUAGUCGAGAGUUUGUUGCCUAUCGUCGAUAGUUUUGAGAAGGCCAAGCUGCAGAUAACACCAGAAACGGAGAAAGAGAAAAAGCUCGACACAAGUUAUCAAGGCAUAUACAAGCAACUUGUGGAAAUAUUGAGAAGCUUGGGUGUUGGUGUUGUGGAGACAGUUGGCAAGCCAUUCGAUCCUUUUGUAAGUUUAUUGCUUUUUAUAUUCUCUGAUCUUGUUAAAAAAGAAAUUCUUUCAUUUCAAGCUAAAUAUCUAUUUACCUUUUGAAUUUGUUGGUCACCUGUUCGAAUUUUCAUUUUGAAGCAUGUGAUUAGAAUUGUUUGCAUUGUUUAGAAAUAAAUUUAAUGAGCAUCCUUAAACAUGAUAAGCAAUAUCUAUUUCAGUGGCAGAUGUGAAACCAUAAAGUAAUAUUACCUAAUUGCUGUUGUUAUUUUGCUAAAUAUGGUUUAUGUUGAAUCCUUUAUUUUUCACCCGAGAAUCAAGCUCUACUGAUGUCAGUUUUGUUCUAUUUAACAGUAAACCUUCCCUAGGCAACAAAAUGUUAUUUGUAGUUCUCAUCGGUUUUCUCAUAAUUUACAUGUUUUCUUAUAAUUUAUAACAUCUUUGGACGCAUAUACUGAGGAAAGCAUGGAUAAAGCAAAUAAACCUUGUGUUAUGUAUUAAUAGUUCUUACUGCUACCUUUCCUCAAAAAAAAAAAGUUCUUACUGCUACCUGGUGCUCAGCUCGCAAAAAGUAUAAAUACUGUGAUAGCUAAGCCUCUAGCUAUCAUGUAGGAAUAGCUAACUUUUUUUUACUAGGGAUUUUCGCAUUGAGAGGACAACUUAAACUGCGAAUUAUCAAUACCAUGAGCGAAGUAUUAGAUGAGUGAAGAGAAAUGCAGGAACCGAGAGCAAAUGACCCCCUUUUUUUGGCCUUUACAUUGAACUACAUUAUAUACCCACCACAAUUCAGCUAUCAAGGAAAGAAGAAUUUUGAGAUACUUGAUAUUGAAGUAUAUACUGAUUAGAAGCUCAGGGUAAUAGAAUCUAAGCCAGUGGGUUGAUGUUAUGAACACCACUGCACUUAUCUGUGUGCAGCUUCUCCGUUGUAUUUAUAUUUUAUUUUAUUUUUUUGAUUUCUCAUUCUUGUUUUCUCCUCUGCAUCAUAAAGUUAUUGUUUCAGUAGUUUAUUUAUUCACUCUUAUAAAUUUUUAACACUUUGUCAUUUACUUUACUCUCCCUUUUAUUUUUUUUUGGGUGAUUGACGAAGAUUCACGAGGCGGUAGCAAGAGAGGAGUCCCAGCAGUUCAAGGCAGGUAUUGUUUCGCACGAGAUCCGGCGAGGGUUUGUUCUCAAGGAUCGGCUUCUCAGACCAGCCAAAGUGAAAGUUUCCACCGGCCUCGCGCAAGCAAAAUCCGAUUCGGUUUCUGAGAAAUCUGCAGAUCAGCCCGAAGCUGCAUCAGAUUCUGGCGGGAGUUCGUCCGCCGCACCCAACAGUUUCUAGUACUGCCUGCAAUUCUACAUUCUUCGGCAUUCCGUUUAAAGAUGAGUUUUUUCUUUUCUAGUCAAAAACCAAUUCGAAAGAUCUUACCAGGUUUUGUACAACCUAAUUGAGCUUUAUAAGAUAAAUUUCUCUCUUAAAAAAUUACCUUUAUUGAAAUGUUGUUUUUGUUGUUUAUGUACUGGACUUAUGAGAAGCUACCACACCAUACUAAGAUUAUUAUUAUUAUUAUUAUUAUUAUUAUUGUUUUGAGUUUGAUAACACAUAGGCCCAAAAUUCGCUCCUGUGCGAGGAGUGUGGCCUCGGGAUCAAAAUAGCCUACAGCGUAUUUGGAAUGGAGAGAGCCCACGGGUGCAUGAGGUGUACGGAUACACCGGGUGCACGCUACGUAACUUUGUCCCCCCGUGCACCGCUAUGCUAUAAACCGAUCCCAGUGUUCAAAAGUUAGCUCCGUUCCCUCCACCCUCCUUUUAAACCAACCACCUCAAGAAGAAAAGGAAAAAAAGAGAAAAAGAAAAACCCAAGAAACUAAACAAAAAUCCCAAACAACCCUCACAAGCAUGACCAUCUUGAUCCCAAGAACCACCACCACCACAACCAUCCUCUUCUUCUUCUUCUUCUUAUUCUUCUAUGGUGGUGGCGGGGAAGGCACCGGCGAAGGCGGCGGGGAGUGGCGGUUGCUGCACGAGAGCAUCGGCAUCUCAGCGAUGCACAUGCAGCUCCUCCCGGGGGACAAAGUGGUGAUGUUCGACCGCACCGACUUCGGCCCCUCCAACAUCUCCCUCCCCGACGGCCGCGUCGUCAUCCUCGGCGGCCGCCGCCAAUUCAACUACGAGUUCUUCCCCCGCGCGUCCGACCGCGAGCUCUACGAAUUCCCCUUCCUCGAGGAGACCCGCGACGCCGAUGACGAGAACAACCUCUACCCGUUCCUCCACCUCCUCCCCGACGGCGGCCUCUUCGUCUUCGCCAACAACCGCUCCGUCGUCUUCGACCCCUUCCUCCGCCGCCCGCCGCGCCGGCUCCCGGACCUGCCGGGAGGCGCGCCGCGGAACUACCCGAGCUCGGGCUCGUCGGCGCUGCUGCCGCUGCGCCCGGAGUCGCCGGCGCGCGGGGAGGUGCUGGUCUGCGGCGGCGCGCCGCGCGGGGCGUACGCGUGGGCGCGGCGCGGGGCGGCGUUCCUGCCCGCGGAGCGGACGUGCGGGCGCAUCGCGGCGACGGAGGCGGGGGCGGCGUGGAGCGUGGAGGCGAUGCCGGGGCCGCGGGUGAUGGGCGACAUGGUGCUGCUCCCCACGGGGGACGUGCUCGUCGUGAACGGCGCCGCCGCGGGGACGGCCGGGUGGGAGAGCGCGCGCGACCCGGUGCUGAGACCGGCGCUGUACCGGCCCGAGCGGGAGCUCGGGGCGAGGUUCGAGGAGAUGGCGCGGGCCGGGAGGGCGCGGCUCUACCACGCGGCGGCGACGCUCGACUCGUACGGGCGGGUGCUCGUGGGCGGGGGGAACCCGCACGCCGGGUACGUGUUCGACGGGGUCGAGUACCCCACGGAGCUCAGCCUCGAGGCGUUCCUGCCCCCCUACCUCCACCCGGGGCGCGACGGGGCGCGGCCGCGCGCGGCGGCGGUGGUAGCGCGCGGCGGCGGAGCGGCGGCGGCGGCGGCGGUGGGAGGGGUCGGGUACGGGGAGGUGGUGGGGGUGAGGUUUAGGGUUGGGGUUGGGGAUGGGGACGGAGGGGCGGAGAUGGAGGAGGGGGAGGAGGUGAGGGUGGUGGCGGUGGCGCCGGGGUUCGCGACGCACGCGGUGGGGAUGAACCAGAGGGUGGUGGGGAUGGGGGUGGGGAGGGUCGAGAGGAUCUCCCCGCCGGCGCCGGCGCCGGCGGAGUACGAGGCGUCUUCGGCGGCGCCGCCGUCGCCGGAGGUGGCGCCGCCCGGGUACUACCUCUGGUUCGUCGUCCACGCCGGGGUCCCCAGCGACCGAGGCGUCUGGGUCCGCAUCGGCUACCCCGGGGACCUCUCGUAACCCUAACCCUUCUCUCUCUCUCUCUCUCUCUCUCUCUCUCCUUGGUUCUUUUCUGGGGGGCGGCGAAUGAGAAUAUAGGGAGGUAGAGGGACUGGAAUGCAAAUUUUAUGUUACUUCUCGUUACUCUGGAUAUUAUGUUUCUGAAGAGUUUUCUAUCCGGGAGAUUUUUGAUCGACAAAUGUUGUUGUUUAGAUACUACUGUAUGAUUGGUUAUUGGUAACGUUUUUUUUUUUUUUUUUUUUUUUUUUUUUUUUUGGUGUGGAGACCCUACACUCGAAUGAGAAAUGACAAUUUUUCAUUUUGUAAUACUUGAACUUUUUUUGUCAUUUUCGUUUCGUAUUCGCGGGUGAUGAUAUUCCUGAUCUGGUCAAAUCACUAGUUCGUGAAUUACUAAUCACAUUCGAAAACACAAACAUGAGCCAUAAAGAUACUCAGAUCGCUCAUUGCUCGAGCUUAUUUUAGUUUUUUUUAAAAAAAAAUGAAAAAUGCCCAGCUUGCACUGGAAUCAUCAAUGCUAUAAAUAAACAAAGUGCAAGCCAAUCCCCACCCACCCAGCCAUAAAAGAAAAAAAAAUUAAAAAAAACCGUGGCUAUUUACAAAUAAAAGAGACUUAGGAAUAUGGCCAUUUUGAAUAAAAAUAAUCUUGAGACCAUUAAAGCAACUGAUGCACUACUACUUUGCGAUGUCACAGUAGAUGAGGAAGGAGAUGGUACGUUCCCAGCUUGAGGAGGAGCCUCGCACGUGCCAAAAGUGCCAUUUACCUGCUUCAUGAAAAGCACUUAACAUUGUCAUAAAUGGAUGGAAUUAACACAAAUUGCCCGGAUCACUCUCCUUCUCCCACUCUAAUAAUCACAUGCUUAUGUAAACCUUUAACUUUUUACAAAAGCAGAAGAUCUAGAUUAGAUCCAUUUACUUUCACGUCCCCGAAACUCAUUAAAUUUAUAAAAAUCUAGCUUUGGGUCAUAUUUUUUUUCCAAGCUAAAUGAAGUAUAUAGCUAGGUAAAAUGAGUAUUAUUACCUUACAAUUUACUAUGCUGUUGCAUCCACAAACCAGGUGCCCAUUAGCUAUAUCUGUAGCUUCUGGGGAACCACCUCCAUCACUUCUCUGCAAUCAACACCCAGAAAAGAAUUUAUACCAAACUAAAAAAAACAAAAACCAAAACAAAAGACUUAAAAGAAAACUAUGUUUAUUUACCAUUCAAUAGUUUACAUACUGUUUUACCUUGUAGAAAUCUACAGCUAUGAAGUUGGGCCAUCGGUUCGCCGACGCAUUAUGGCAGGUGUUCAGCAUGUCCACGAGGGGCGCCGAGUUGUGCUUGCAAGCGGUCGCGAAAUCCGGAGCGUCGGGGAAGUAGUUCAUCAGAACGAGCGAUCGAGACAUCGUGUUCAUAGCGGCCGACUCCGCUCGGUUAGGGCACUGCCCUGCUUGCAUCCCUCCAUUUCCAUCUGCAGUUGCAGUUUGAUCAGUAUGUAUGCACAAUGAUCAACAAAAUAUGGGCGAAUUUACUAACCUAAUCCCCCUUGGAUUGUCGCAAUUCGAUCCAUAACCUUUGCAUUCGGUUUCAACUUUCAAACAAGAUGCAAAGGUUUGAGGAUGAAACUGGAAAAUUGUAAAUGGUUUGAACGAAAUAUUCUUCUUCGUACAUUGAUUUUCAACGACGUAUCUCCACUCGUACGCGAUGCCCUCGGAAGCCUCUUUGGCGGAUUUUGAGGUGAACACGAGCAGGCGGUGGUUCUUGCUUAUCAUAUCACGAAGCAAAGGCCAAUCGCCUCCGUUCUUCGGCAUUGAGGAUACGGGGAACCAGUAUUUCAUGAGGCCCGAGGCAGUGAACACCUUGGUGAGACCCAUCGGGGACGUAACGUAGUCUUCGAUGAAUAUCGUGACGACUUCCGAAGGGUUUGCUUCGAGGAACGAUUGGAUCUCUUUGAGAACAUUGAUCGCGGGUUGCUGAAAAUGAUUAGAUGAUUCGUUCAUUUCGUUAUACUAGAGUGUUAAAAAUUGGGUGAAUUUUGCGAAAUAUGUUACAUCAGAAGCUUACGAAUGCCGUGAUGUUGUAGCAUUUGCCGCCAAAGGAGUGGCACAACCAGACAUCGUUUUCAAAAUCGUACAUGUCGAGCAUUAGUCCUCGCACUCCGUUCUGCGCUCAUCAAAUUAGUUAUAAUUAGAAAAAAAAAAUUUAUAUAUAUAUAUAUGCAGAAAGAAGAGGAAAAAUAGAGAAAAGAGAACAAUAUACGGUGACCUAUAUAAUUAACACACAAUUGCUCAAACAGUGAAAUUAUAUAUGCAGCAGCGGUGGAUUACAUGAUUCACACAAAGAGAAAGUCCAAUUUUACAUGCAUCAGCAACUCCAUGGUUCCNUAUAUAUAUAUAUAUAUAUAUAUAUAUAUAUAUAUAUAUAUAUAUAUAUAUAUAUAUAUAUAUAUAAAUUACAGCCAAUUUUAACAGUAAAAAGUUUCUCUUUUCAUUUUGUGUGUGAAAUCCACAACAAAGUGCACUGGAAAGUGAAGCAACAUUAGCAACUAGACUUAUUCCUCUUAAUUUCAUUUCCAAAAAUCUCACAACCCUUUUAGCACGUGCUAGAAUAUCUUGAAUAAGUACUAUAAUGAAUCAAAUUGGGAGUUCUUAUGCCAUCUCAUGUUAACUACUACAUCAAAUUGCGAGUGAUUUUCAAGUUGAAAAUAACUUUUAAUUCAACGGAAGUUCAAGUGAAUUUUUUUUUUCCCCAGUUCUGUUCAUUUGAUAGAAACUUAACGGCUUUGGAAUUGUAAUUAUUCUAUUUUUUUAUUUUACUAAACUUUGGAAUUGUAAUUAUUCUAUUUUUUAUUUUACUAAAAAUGUUUAACCUAGCACAUAUAAGAGGAUUAAAAAAACAUCAGUUAAUAUUUUAUUAUUAUCAUUUUUUAUUUUUCUUUCAUAAUUAAUUUCCAUGAAACAUGCAGCGCGAGAAAUCAAUUAAGAUAAUAUAAAAAAGUAAAGUUACAAGUAAAUUUAAUUUAGAACGAACUAAAUAAUAAAAGUGAGUAUUUUUAGGUGAAAAUAACUUUACCCUCUCAACUUUCCACAAAGAGUGUGUUUAUUUUUCCGAAAGCGGAGAGAGAUGAAAUAGUUUUCGACCAUAAAUGCCCACUCUUCAAAAUAUCAUAAUCGACUUCGACCUAUUCUAUACCGCAUGAACUUUUACGUUAUAUAUUUUCUAUAAAAUAAACAGCAAAAUUGAAAUAAAGGAACUCUCAUUCCACGGCUAUACAUACAAAUAGCCAAAUAAUAAUAAUAAUAAUAAUAAUAAUGAAUAAAAAAAGCAGUGGGAUUACGUACGUACGUUGAGCUGAUCGGUGAUGGAGUCCUGUUGAUUGGUGGGGGCGAGAAUGAUGGAGCCGGUUUGGGACCUCACCCCGAGCCUCGCGAACGAGUUGUGCGUCGUCAGCCACGCGUACCUGUUGAACGCCAACCCCGUCCCCUGCAACGCGAGGAAUUCUACACUGUCACACUUGCACCACAUCAUCAAUAACAAGUCAAUUACAUUUUUUUUUUUCAAACAAAAGUAUAAUAAAAAUAUUUUUUUAUAACCAUGAUGGAACAUAUAUUAUUAAAAGAAUUAAUUUGAUUUGCUUGUUACACCACGUCACUAAUAUACCCGUUGCAUUUUAGAAUUUUUCCUGCAACGCACCACGCAGAUCAUAUCAUCAUCAUAUAUCCAUCCCCACAUUAAUUACUGCACCAUAAUAACAUCCCAAACUUUGAAAAAAAUUUAAAAUGCACCAAUCAUGUUAUUGACGCGACGUAUUUAAUUAAUAAAAUUAUUCUUUUUUAAUUUUCACUAGUCCCAUCAUGACUAAUAAAAAAAUAUAACUGACUCAUUACUGAUGGGAUGGUAUGAAUAUGACACCGUAGACUUUCUUCCUAACCAAUAAUACCGCCACGACCCAUCACCAAGUAAUACUUUUAUUUUUAUUUAAAAAUUAUAAUUUUUAUUUUAAAAUUUUAAAUAUUUUUAAAAUUUUGGUAUUAUAUUAAAAAAUUUAACAAAAUAUUAUAUAAAAAAUAAAAUUAAUACGUGACGACAGAUGUUGAACCCCCCCCUCCCCCGCCAAAAAAAAAAAAAAAAAAAAAAAAAAAAAAAUCCCCCUUCUAACUAGCAAGUUGAAAGUUGACGAAGAACACCCUCAACUCUCCACAGCUUUAUCCAUCUUUUUUUAACUUACAUUUUAUAUUGAGAUAUUUUAUUAAUAACAAAUAAAUUGACUUUUUAUUAAAUUAAAAAAUAAAAAAAUAAUUUAAUUUAUUUAUUAGCGAUUCCAUCAAAUUUAAUAAACUUGAAUAAUCUAAAUAAAAAAAUAAAAAUUGAGAAACUGUUCAUUAAAAAAUAUAAAAAUCAGGAGUUUAUUUUUAAAUUGGCUAUAGCUAGAAUGUCCUAGCAUAUUUUUUAGCUUCCCCCUUUCACAGGACACUUCCUCAACUUCUAUUUUUUUAAAAAAAUUCAAAUUAUCAAGUAACUUAAUUCAAUUUUUUUGUUUCAAAUUAUUUCUAAAAAUAAAUUAAGUUUACUAAAUUCAAUAAAACUAUCAAAUAAAUCAAUAAAAUUUUCAAUUAGACUGACUAUAAUUAUCCAAUAAAAAAUUAAAAGCUGAAAAAAAAUUAUUUAAAAAAUAAUUAAAGUUGAGAUGGCCUUUUCAAAACGGCUUAUAUAUGUAGUUUGAUUGGUCACCAUACACUUUAAAAAAGACAAACUAAAAUAAAAUAAAGAAUAAAAUAAGAUAAGACAUAAAAUCAAUCUCUGACCGUUGAUUUCGGAUCGGACGGUUUGAUCCGGGUGCAUCUGGGCCGCACGUUCCCAUCCGCUAUACACGUCUCGCAGUGCAACCCCGCGUCGCAGUUCCGAUCCGCCACGCACGUCGCCCCGAGCUACGCAGUUCAAACGUGAACAACAACGACGAUUCCUCGAAUAAGAUCACAAUUUAUGCGAAUAAGUAGCGGAAUAAGGCGAAUAACAACUCACCUGCGAAGCAAAAGCGAUUGGAACAGCGAUUCCGAAGAGGAAUGAGAUCAGUAGCAGCAGCAACAGAGGCUUCGAUCGACGACUCUGCGUUGCGGAAUGAGUGAGAUGGGGAUAAGAAUUAGGGUUUAUGGGAGAAGGGGAAGGGGUGGGGAUUGGGGAUGAGAAUUAGUACCUGCAUCGUCGCUAGGGUUUCGAAUGGAUUGGGGGUUUUUCGAGAGGGGAUUGGGGGAUAAGAUUACGUGGAAAUGGGGAAUAAAGUGGGGAUUGAGAGGUUUAUUCCUGGGAAUAGUGUGUGGGAGUGUUGUGUUUUGCAAUAAUGGAGGUGGUUGGGUGUACGGCAACGAAGGUAUUGGUGCGAUCAAAAUGGCGUGAUGGGUACGGCUGUGAUCGAUCGGCAAUUGCCGUGGAUAAGGCGUGACGAAAAUGAACUAGUUUAAUAUUGGAAAAACUUUUCAUUUUAGCAUACCAAAGUGUAUUAAUUUAGUAUUUUAUAUAUAUAUAUAUAUAUAUAUAUAUAUAUUUUCUUAUCAUCUAUUUUACUAUUUUUUUUAUUAAAUUAAUAAUAAAGUAAAAACUAAAAAAUAUUAAAGUGAAUAUUCGAUAAAUCUAGACGGAAUAUGUGAAGUUUUUUUGUAUAUAUUUUAACGAAAUAUUAACAAAGAAGCGGACGAAAAGAGAAAAAUAAAAUUAUAGAGUACUAACUUGAUAUACUUUAAACCAUAAAAUAGUAAAGUGAAAAAGUGCGAAACCACAUGGAUGGUAUUUAAAGUUUACUCUUUAAUAUUUUGUUUGGUUGUUCCUUAAUAAGGGAAAAAAAAAGCUAAG